UGAGGAAUAUUGGUCAAUGGGCGCAAGCCUGAACCAGCCAAGUAGCGUGAGGGAAGACUGCCCUACGGGUUGUAAACCUCUUUUGUUUGGGAAUAAAGUGCGGGACGUGUCCCGCAUUGCAUGUACCAUUUGAAUAAGGACCGGCUAAUUCCGUGCCAGCAGCCGCGGUAAUACGGAAGGUCCGGGCGUUAUCCGGAUUUAUUGGGUUUAAAGGGAGCGUAGGCCGUCUGUUAAGCGUGUUGUGAAAUGUCGGGGCUCAACCUGGGCAUUGCAGCGCGAACUGGCAGACUUGAGUGCGCAGGAAGUAGGCGGAAUUCGUCGUGUAGCGGUGAAAUGCUUAGAUAUGACGAAGAACUCCGAUUGCGAAGGCAGCCUGCUGUAGCGUAACUGACGCUGAAGCUCGAAAGCGU
This 410-nucleotide ribosomal RNA is filed under the name uncultured Prevotella sp. Its description in RNAcentral is "bacterial SSU rRNA". It matches the Rfam family "Bacterial small subunit ribosomal RNA", at positions 355 to 762 of the family's 1533-position model. The record is from RNAcentral. Lineage: Bacteria; Pseudomonadati; Bacteroidota; Bacteroidia; Bacteroidales; Prevotellaceae.